Oncorhynchus tshawytscha (Chinook salmon) is the source of this 2050-nucleotide long non-coding RNA. NCBI's taxonomy places the organism in Eukaryota, Metazoa, Chordata, Actinopteri, Salmoniformes, Salmonidae. The record is from Ensembl.
CAUUUACAUAAGUAAUUCAGACCCUUUACUCAGUACUUUGUUGAAGCAUCUUUGGCAGUGAUUACAGCCUCAAGUCUUCUUGGGUAUGACGCUACAAGCUUGGCACACAUGUAUUUGGGGAGUUUCUUCAAUUCUACUCUGCAGAUCCUCUCAAGCUCUGUCAGGUUGGAUGGGGAGCUUCACUGCACAGCUAUUUUCAGGUCUCUCCAGAGAUGUUCGAUCAGGUUCAUAUCCAGGCUCUGGAUGGGCCAGUCAAGGACAUUCAGACUUGUCCUGAAGCCACUCUUGUGUUGUCUUGGCUGUGUGCUUAGGGUUGUGGUCCUGUUGGAAGGUGAACCUUCGCUCCAGAAUGAGGUCCUGAGCGCUCUGGGGCAGGUUGUCAUUAAGGAUCUCUCUGUACUUUGCUCCGUUCAUCUUUCCCUCAAUCCUGACUAGUCUCCCAGUCCCUGGAAGCUGAAAAACAUCCCCACAGCAUGAUGCUGCCACCACCGUGUUUCACUGUAGGGAUGCUGCCACCACCAUGCUUCACCGUAGGGAUGGUGCCACCACAGUGCUUCACUGUAGGGAUGCUGCCACCACCAUGCUUCACUGUAGGGAUGCUGCCACCACCAUGCUUCACCGUAGGGAUGCUGCCACCACCAUGCUUCACCAUAGGGAUGCUGCCACCACCAUGCUUCACCAUAGGGAUGCUGCCACCACCAUGCUUCACCAUAGGGAUGCUGCCACCACCGUGCUUCACCGUAGGGAUGCUGCCACCACCAUACUUCACCGUAGGGAUGGUGCCAGGUUUCUUCCAGACGUGACGCUUGGCACUCAGGCCAAAGAGUUCAAUCUUGGUUUCAUCAGACCAGAGAAUCUGAUUUCUUUAGGUGCCUUUUGGCAAACUCCAAGUGGGCUGUCAAGUGCCUUUUACUGAGGAGUGGCUUCUGUCUGGCCACUCUACCAUAAAGGCCUGAUUGGUGGAGUGCUGCAGAGAUGGUUGUCCUUCUGGAAGGUUCUCCCAUCUCCACAGAAUGACCAUCAGGUUCUUGGUCACCUCCUUGACCAAGGCCCUUCUCCCCCAAUGGCUGGGCAGAAAGCUCUAGGAAGAGUUUUGGUGGCUACAAACUUCUUUCAUUUAGAAUAAAGUAGGCCACUGUGUUCAAUGCUGAAUAAUUAUUUUGGUACCUAUUCCCAGAUCUAUGCCUCGAUACUAUCCUGUCUUGGAGUUCUACGGACAAUUCCUUCGACCUCAUGGCUUGGUUUCCAAAUCAUGUCAAAUCAAUUGAAUUUACCACAGGUGGACUCCAAUCAAGUUGUAGAAACAUCUCAAGGAUGAUCAAUGGAAACAGGAUGCACCUGAGCUCAAUUUGGGGUCUCAUAGCAAAGGGUCUGAAUACUUAUGUAAAUAAGGUAUUUCUGUUUCUUAUUUAAAAAAUUAGCAAACAUUUCUAAAAACCUGUUUUCGCAUUGUCAUUAUGGGGUAGUGUGUGUAGAUUGAUGAGAUUCAUGAGAUUAUUUAAUUAAUUUUAGAAUAAGUCUGUAACGUAACAAAAUGUGGAGAAGGGGGAAGGGGUCUGAAUACUUCCUGAAUAAUCUGUAUAAAGGUGUGAAAGUGAAGACAGAUGUUGGAUUUGUUAACCUGCUGAGUGAAUGGAUAGAAUACACUGGACUGCAUCUAAAACACCAAAUUCAACAUGGCUGCGUUUACACAGCCAACACAAUUAUAAUAUUCUUCCCACUAAUUGCACCUUUUGAUCAAUUAGCUAUUUUGUCAAAAAUUGGGGAAAAGAUCAGAAUUCAGCUGACUGUGUAAAUGCAGCUAAAAAGUGCUGGGGGCUAGUGCCCUACUUUGACCAGGGUGCUAGUGCCCUACUUUGACCAGGGUGCUGGGGGCUAGUGCACUACUUUGAUGAGGGUGCUGGGGGCUAGUGCACUACUUUGAUGAGGGUGCCGGGGGCUAGUGCACUACUUUGAUGAGGGUGCUGGGGACUAGUGCACUACUUUGAUCAGGGUGCUGGGGGCUAGUGCCCUACUUUGACCAGGGGGCUAGUGCCCUACUUUGACCAGG